UAGGUGGGGUCCGAGCUCGGAGAGUUUGAUCCUGGCUCAGAACGAACGUUGGCGGCGUGGAUUAGGCAUGCAAGUCGAACGAGAACCGUAGCAAUACGGGGAAAGUGGCGAAAGGGGCAGUAAUGCAUGGGUAAUCUACCCUGGGGAUGUGGAUAGCUUUCCUAACGGAUUGGUAAUACACAGCGACCCGGCGAGGAGACAUCUUUUUGCCGGCAAAUGAAUUUCGCCCUGGGAGGAGCUCAUGUCGUAUUAGCUUGUUGGCGGGGUAACGGCCCACCAAGGCAGAGAUGCGUAGCGGGUGUGAGAGCACGACCCGCGCCACUGGCACUGAGACACUGGCCAGACACCUACGGGUGGCUGCAGUCGAGGAUCUUCGGCAAUGUGCGCAAGCAUGACCGAGCGACGCCGCGUGUGCGACGAAGGCCUUCGGGUUGUAAAGCACUGUCGAGGGGGAGGAAAGCCGAAAGGUCUGACCUAUCCCUGGAGGAAGCACGGGCUAAGUUCGUGCCAGCAGCCGCGGUAAGACGAACCGUGCAAACGUUGUUCGGAAUCACUGGGCUUAAAGGGCGCGUAGGCGGACCAUCAAGUCAGAGGUGAAAUCCCCCAGCUCAACUGGGGAACUGCCCCUGAUACUGGCGGUCUCGAGUAAGGUAGGGGCGUGCGGAACUGAUGGUGGAGCGGUGAAAUGUGUUGAUAUCAUCAGGAACUCCGGUGGCGAAAGCGGCACGCUGGACCUUCACUGACGCUGAUGCGCGAAAGCCAGGGGAGCAAAC
RNAcentral lists this ribosomal RNA (773 nucleotides) under uncultured soil bacterium. Its description in RNAcentral is "bacterial SSU rRNA". It matches the Rfam family "Bacterial small subunit ribosomal RNA", at positions 1 to 773 of the family's 1533-position model. The record is from RNAcentral.